GGCGCGGCCUACCUGCAAGUCGUACAGGGUACCAAGCAGCUUGCUGCUUCGCUGACGAGUGGCGGACGGGUGAGUAAUGUCUGGGAAACUGCCUGAUGGAGGGGGAUAACUACUGGAAACGGUAGCUAAUACCGCAUAACGUCGCAAGACCAAAGAGGGGGACCUUCGGGCCUCUUGCCAUCGGAUGUGCCCAGAUGGGAUUAGCUAGUAGGUGGGGUAACGGCUCACCUAGGCGACGAUCCCUAGCUGGUCUGAGAGGAUGACCAGCCACACUGGAACUGAGACACGGUCCAGACUCCUACGGGAGGCAGCAGUGGGGAAUAUUGCACAAUGGGCGCAAGCCUGAUGCAGCCAUGCCGCGUGUAUGAAGAAGGCCUUCGGGUUGUAAGUACUUUCAGCGGGGAGGAAGGCGAU
This 414-nucleotide ribosomal RNA is filed under the name Enterobacter cloacae. RNAcentral describes it as "bacterial SSU rRNA". It matches the Rfam family "Bacterial small subunit ribosomal RNA", at positions 41 to 455 of the family's 1533-position model. The record is from RNAcentral. Lineage: Bacteria; Pseudomonadati; Pseudomonadota; Gammaproteobacteria; Enterobacterales; Enterobacteriaceae.